AUUGAACGCUGGCGGCAGGCCUAACACAUGCAAGUCGAGCGGAUGAAGGGAGCUUGCUCCUGGAUUCAGCGGCGGACGGGAGAGUAAUGCCUAUGAAUCUGCCUGGUAGUGGGGGAUAACGUCCGGAAACGGGCGCUAAUACCGCAUACGUCCUGAGGGAGAAAGUGGGGGAGCUUCGGACCUCACGCUAUCAGAUGAGCCUAGGUCGGAUUAGCUAGUUGGUGGGGUAAAGGCCUACCAAGGCGACGAUCCGUAACUGGUCUGAGAGGAUGAUCAGUCACACUGGAACUGAGACACGGUCCAGACUCCUACGGGAGGCAGCAGUGGGGAAUAUUGGACAAUGGGCGAAAGCCUGAUCCAGGCAUGCCGCGUGUGUGAAGAAGGUCUUCGGAUUGUAAAGCACUUUAAGUUGGGAGGAAGGGCAGUAAGUUAAUACCUUGCUGUUUUGACGGUACCAACAGAAUAAGCACCGGCUAACUUCGUG
Molecule: ribosomal RNA, 484 nt
Filed under: uncultured bacterium
Lineage: Bacteria
Description: partial 16S ribosomal RNA
Rfam family: Bacterial small subunit ribosomal RNA
Source: RNAcentral